CAGAGGGGCUAGCGUUGUUCGGAAUUACUGGGCGUAAAGGGCGCGUAGGCGGCCCGCUAAGUCGAACGUGAAAUCCCCGGGCUCAACCCGGGAACUGCGUCCGAUACUGGCGGGCUUGAAUCCGGGAGAGGGAUGUGGAAUUCCAGGUGUAGCGGUGAAAUGCGUAGAUAUCUGGAGGAACACCGGUGGCGAAGGCGGCAUCCUGGACCGGUAUUGACGCUGAGGCGCGAAAGCCAGGGGAGCAAACGGGAUUAGAUACCCCGGUAGUCCUGGCCCUAAACGAUGAAUGCUUGGUGUGGCGGGUAUCGAUCCCUGCCGUGCCGAAGCUAACGCAUUAAGCAUUCCGCCUGGGGAGUACGGUCGCAAGGCUG
This 371-nucleotide ribosomal RNA is filed under the name uncultured organism. RNAcentral's name for it is "bacterial SSU rRNA". It matches the Rfam family "Bacterial small subunit ribosomal RNA", at positions 527 to 896 of the family's 1533-position model. The record is from RNAcentral.